UGUAAGCGUAUACCAAAGUUGUUGCAGUUAAAACGCUCGUAGUCGGAAUUUGGCAGUUCCGGAAGUGUGCACGUCGUGUGCGCACUUUGCGGGGACUGCUUUUGUGGUCUUGCGUAGGAUGAGGCACUUUCAUUAGUGAACGUCCUCACGCAAACACUCUUUACUGUGAGAAAAUCAGAGUGCUCAAAGCAGGCAUUUGCCGUGAAUGUAUUAGCAUGGAAUAAUAGAAUAGGACUCGGUUCUAUUUUGUUGGUUUGUUGGGACUGAGUAAUGAUUAAGAGGGACAGUUGGGGGCAUUUGUAUUCCGGCGCUAGAGGUGAAAUUCUUAGAUUGCCGGAAGACAAACUGCUGCGAAAGCGUCUGCCAAGGAUGUUUUCAUUGA
Molecule: ribosomal RNA, 382 nt
Filed under: uncultured eukaryote
Lineage: Eukaryota
Description: partial 18S ribosomal RNA
Rfam family: Eukaryotic small subunit ribosomal RNA
Source: RNAcentral